AUGAUGCUGCGUUUAAAACAACUGGGAAGUCGAAAAAAAACACGAUGUUAAAUCAUGGCAUCAGUGAUCUUUAGGUCGGAAAGUCUGAGCUCUAGGGAGAGACCUGACUUCCCGAAAUGCAUGACCAUUCAAAUCGAUGUUUUCCCCAGUCAGAGCAAUUUUUUUCCCUCCGAGUUCCCAGGAAGUCGGAGAAUUCAGAGUUUCCAGUUGAUUUGAACGCGACAUGAGCAACCAGCAGGAAAAUUGACAAGACUUAGUGUUAUUGAAAUUGACAAAACAAAAAUUAAAUAUAUAGCUAUUUACUAAACAGGGUAAGAUCUCUUUUAUAUAACGUUAGCCUAAUACAAUUUGGAAACCCAACUUUGUAGUAACGUUAACUAGCUACUAUGGCUAAUAAUGCUAACGUUAGCUAGCUGUUUUUUUUUGUCUAGCUGACUUGCUACUGAAGUUAGCUAGUUAAGUGCUUUUGACAAAAUGUUACAAUGUCGGAGAGACCGCAAGGUUGUCGAAAACCAAAUGCAAGUCUAAAAUGAAGGGGAGAAUGUCUUGCUUUUUUUUUUUUUUACUGUGGACAAAUUGCCCGAUUGAUUUGAUGAGAAGGUAAUAAUCAUUUCAACGUCAUAGGCGAAUGAAUGUAUUAUAAAGAUCUAUAUGUAACUAACCCAAUAUAGUUAAUUGGUGUCGUUUACAAUGGGAACAAAUGAAGCAAGUAGGUGGGUAAAGUGAACGCACUAGCAAGCGAGAUCCUAUUGGCAUGUAGCAAGUAUUUGCAUAAAUUUACUGUGACGUGUGUGCGGUGUGCAUAAAUCAAUUCGACCUUGCACUCCUAAACAACUCAAUUUAAAGUCUAUAAAACGUAUUGCACUUCCUAUCAGAUGCUAGAUUUUGGAACAUAAAUGUAUUGAUCAUAUGUUACAUCAAUGAGAAAAUUAUCAGAAUGUCUGGCCAGAUUCACCCAAAUUGUGUUCGAAUACUCAUACUAACUGUACUAUUUGUGACUAAAUUGAGUAUGUAGUGUUCUUAUUGGUCAUAGUAUGGAUAUAGUUAGUAUGCCAAAAGUUCCAGGAUGUCGUACUAAAUUCGCCAAAAUACAUCAACGUUGAAUAUGGCCGGUGUCAUUAAAUUGUUUCCAGCAGCACAGUCUCCAACUUUUUGGACAACAUAUAAACAGCCUAAUCAGCUCUGCUAGGGCGAGCAAAAUGGUCAGAGUGAGGUGUCAUUUGUGUCUGGAAGUAGCUAGCAAGCUAUCCAACGACGUUAACCAGUUAGCAAGGGUGCUUGACUGCCAUUGUGAGUCGGAUUAACCCUACUCCUCGGCCAGUGCGUCAUGAACGCUCUGAAUUUACGAACGCCAGAGGGCACUCCAGAUACGCUGGAAACAUGAAACACUUUUUUUCUGAUAAAUAGUUCAUUGCAUCUGCCGUGGAGCCCAGUUUCAUAAUAUGAACAUAUUUCCCAGCUGCUUGCUGUUGUUUUGAAGUAAUCACGAAAAAAACUGCUUAUUUUAGGGCAAUUUUCACCCUGCCAGCUCCUAUUAGUUCUAUUGAGCAUUGUGGCACCAACUCGCCUUCCGAACAUUCUAUUCCCAGUUUAUUGUUAUACGUCACACUGCCUGCUUCGCUAUUGUUGGCAAUGAGACCCGCUCACAUUGUUUAUAGAUUGACACCAUCGAGGUGCGGAUGUUUACUUCUACAGAAGUUUUUUUUUUCCAGUUUCGUCUGGUGAACAGAUUGUAGUGGUAAAAUAAAAAGGGAUACAUUUUUUGGUGCCAUUUAGGCGAAAUGGAAGUCUAAGCAUCACUCUAGUCAAAACAGGCUCUGCGAACAUUUGAUUCCAUUCAUUUGCUAUGGCCUCGUGCUAGUGUUCCAGCUUAGCCAACGUCCUUUUGCUGUUUUUCAGCCUUGGGUGAAUUUUGACUCGUUCUAUUGUUCAGCCUCCUCCCGAUUGAAUUUACGAACACACCCGAAGUAAAACAUUUUUUUAUAGCAAGACAGGUUGCAUAGCAACAGCAUCAACUUCCGGCAGACAGGUGAAGCGCUAGUACACUCAACUGAAAGGAUAAUGUUCAUUUACAGUAUACUAAAAUGAAUUUAUAGUAUGGAGUGUAUAUACUCAUUAAGUAUGUAGUAUACAGUAUUACUAUGGGUAUUCGAACACAGCUCUAGUUCCAUCCUUUCCCACUACCCUCAAAUGGACUUCCUCUCACUACCAUAUUUGGUGGCGAGAAAAUGUUCCAAGGGAUGCUUCAGCUUUAUAGCCCAUGUGACUUGUCUGGGUUACCUUUUCUGUCUGUGUCAUAGCCUUAGCUGGUGGUAACUUGUGGAAUAGACACUGACUUGAAUGCAGCUUUAACCAAUCAGCAUCCAGAAGUAAACCACCCAUUGUAAAAUACAUGUAGGUAGGGGUGAAGUGACUAUGCAUAGAUAAUCAACAGUGAGUAGCAGCAGUGUACAAAACAAAUGGAGGGGGGGGUCAAUGUAAUAGUCCGGUGGCCAUUUGAUUAAUUGUUCAGCAGGCUUGGGGGUAGAAGCUGUUGUGUCGUCAGCAAACUUAAUGAUGGUGUUUGAGUCGUGUUUGGCCGCGCAGUCGUGGGUGAACAGGGAGUACAGGAGGGGAUUAAGUACACACCCUUGAGGGGCCCCCGUGCUGAGGAUCAGCGUGGCAGACUAGUUGUUGCCUACCCUUACCAGGAUCCAGUUGCAGAGGGAGGUGUUUGGUCCCAGGGUCCUUAGCUUAGUGAUGAGCUUCGUGGGCACUAUGGUGUUGAACACUGAGCUAUAGUCAAUGAACAGCAUUCUCACAUAGGUGUUCCUUUUGUCCAGGUGGGAAAGAGCAGUGUGGAGGUCGAUUGAGAUAGCGUCAUCUGUGGAUCUGUUGGGGCGGUAUGCGAAUUGGAGUGGGUCUAGGGUAUCUGGGAGGAUGCUGUUGAUGUCAGCCAUGACCAGCCUUUCAAAGCACUUCAUGGCUUCCGACGUGAGUGCUACGGGGCGGUAAUCGUUUACGCAGGUUAACUUCGCUGCCUUGGGCACAACAAUUAUGGUGGUCUGCUUGAAGCAUGUAGGUAUUACAGACUCAAUCAGGGAGAGGUUGAAAAUGUCAGUGAAGACACUUGCCAGUUGGUCUGCGUAUGCUUUGAGUACACGUCCUGGUAAUCCAUCUGGCUUUGUGAAUGUUGACCUGUUUAAAGGUCUUGCUCACAUCGGCUACCGAGAGUGUUAUCACACAGUCAUCCGGUACAGCUGGUGCUCUUGUGCAUGCUUCAGUGUUGCUUGCCUCGAAGUGAGCAUAAAAGGCAUUUAGCUCGUCUGGUAGGUUCGCAUCACUGGGCAGCUCGCGUCUGGGUUUCCCUUUGUAGUCCGUAAUAGUUUUCAAGCCCUGCCACAUCCGACGAGCGUCAGAGCCGGUGUAGUAGGAUUUAAUCUUAAUCCUGUAUUGACGCUUUGCUUGUUUGAUGGUUCGUCUGAGGGCGUAGCUGUCAAGACUUCUGCGGAAGUCGGUCCCUCUCCUAGUUCGGGCGGUGUUCGGCGGUUGACGUCACCGGCCUUCUAGCCAUCGCCGAUCCACCUUUCAUUUUCCAUUGGUUUUGUCUUGUCUUCCCUCACACCUGGUUUCAAUUACAUCAAUUACAUAUGGUGUAUUUAACCCCCCCAUGUCCUUGUCCAGAAUUCUUUAUUGUAAGUGCUUGUGCACGUCUGAUGUGCGUCGGGUUAUGUACCCAUUUAUUGAUUGUUCUAUUUUACCCCUUACAGUAGCGGAUUUUCAUAUAGGCGUCCAGAUUAGUGUCCCGCUCCUUGAAAGCGGCAGCUUUAGCUCGAUGGGGAUGUUGCCUGUAAUCCAUGGCUUCUGGUUGGGAUAUGUUUGUACGGUCAAUGUGAGGACGACGUCAUCGAUGCACUUAUUCAUGAAGCCGAUGACUGAGGUGGUAUACUCCUCAAUGCCAUGGGAUGAAUCCCGGAACAUAUUCCAGUCUGUGCUAGCAAAACCGUCCUGUAGCGUAGCAUCCGCGACAUCUAACCACUUCCAUAUUGAGCGAGUCACUGGUACUUCCUGCUUUAGUUUUAGCUUGUAAGCCGGAAUCAGGAGGAUAGAAUUAUGGUCAGAUUUGCCAAAUAGGCAGGGGAGAGCUUUGUAUGCAUCUCUGUGUGUGGAGUAAAGGUUGUCUAGGAUUUUUUUUGUCUGGUUACACAUGUGACAUGCUGGUAAAUACGAGGAAUAACUGAUUUAAGUUUGCCUGCAUUAAAGUCCCCGGCUACUAGGAGCGCCGCUUCUGGGUGAGCAUUUUCUUGUUUGCUUAUGGCCUUAUAGAGUUGGUUGAGUGCGGUCUUAGUGCCAGCAUCUGUGAUGGUAAAUAGACAGCUACAAAUAAUAUAGAUAGUGUGGUCUACAGCUUAUCAUAAGGUACUCUACCUCAGACAAGCAAUAACUCUACCCUUCUUAAAUAUUAGACAUUGCGCACCAGCUGUUAUUGACAAAAAGACACACACCCCCACCCCUCGUCUUACCAGACAUAGCUUCUCUGUUCUGCCGGUGCAUUGAGAAUCCCUCCAGCUCUAUGUUAUCCGUGUCGUCGUUCAGCCACGACUCGGUGAAACACAAGAUAUUACAGUUCUUAAUGUCAUGUUGGUAGGAUAAUCGUAGGUCAUCAAUUUUAAUUUCCAAUGAUUGCUUAUUAGCAAAUAUAAUUGAUGGCCGUGGGAGUUUACUCGCUCCCCUACUGAUUCUCAAAUGGAAGCCCGAUCUGCGUCCUCUUCACGCAAAUGAUGGGGAUCUGUGCCUGUUCCCGGAAGAGCAGUAUACCCUUCUCGUUGGACUCGUUAAAGGAAAAAGCUUCUUCCAGUUCGUGGUAAUUCACUAAGGAUACAGUUACAAGGCCCACCAGCCCCUGCCAACAGUGGUCUAAACAGUCGCCUUGUGAUCUGUGAUCUACAAGGCUGCCAGUGCUGGACCGUCUGAUCCAAAUUUGGAAUCUUGGAUGGCCCCACCCCCAUUGAGAUCUAAGGAGAAUGAGAAAUGGAGCGACAUAAAGAUGUCCAGGUUUGGUCACAGUGUUUUUUGGCUCCGUCCAGCAAGCCAAACUUCCAGCCCUUUGUGGAAGAGUCGGAUCAGCCUCCGACCAUGACACUGUAAGAUCAACCCAGCGGUGAAUUUGGUGUUGUCUGCAUGAAAGCCCUGCGGGGAUGAGACUCCUCUGAAGAGACUGCAGCAACAUCAGCAGCAGGAAGAGGGGAAAGCUCAGAAGCAGAGCAUGUAUUGCAAGGACCUGUUGCUCAGUGUCGCCUCUGAGUUCUGCUUUUAGGAACUGAGGGCAGAAAGCUACCACCAGAAGAAGGCCUUGGAGUCAGGGGCAGUGUCAAGGAAGAGCAAGGGGGCUCUGGUCUUCCAAACUGACACCUUUCCACCUGAACAUUGACAUGACAUUUCCAUGUUCAGAUUGUUUUGUAUUUAGGUAGCAGACUGUCAGUAUCAUCUGUUAUGUCUUUGUUGUCUUUCGUCAUGCAUGUAUUUUACUGUUUGUGAUGUGUAUAUAUAAACUGCAGUUGGAAUGGCAUAGGUCACACCAGUCAUAGCCAUAGAUCACUAUCUAGGCUCUGGGCCACACAGUAUCCCAGAGGGAAAAAUCAUCUAAUGUAAUUGGAGAAAAUGGUGCUAUGAUUUGAGAACUGAAAUACUGGUGGUUGUUGUUACUGCAUAUCCUUGGAUAUUCUGCAAUAAUUGGCUGUUGAGACUGUUCUGUAAUAUAUUUUCUUUCAUGGCAAUUCACUACAAAACGGUAUUCUACAUUUUACAUUCAUUCCACUCAUCUAUUAUGUUUGGAAAAGGGCUUUAGAUAACAUGCCAUGUUCCGUCUGGUUCCUCUCUCCAUUAUUUCUUUGCCUUCUUCACGUUACCUCUUAGGAAUUAAACUUUCAGUACCCCAUGUGGUGAAGGUAGUGUAUGAGAAUGACAGAGAGAAAUCCAGAGGAGUCUAUGACAAGGCUCAAUUCACAUUAUAGAUGUCACUGCUGUAUAUAUUGGUAAAAAUGUCCCCCCAAGGCCAUGUGGUGAUAGUGUUAAAUAAAUGUGAAAUAAUGGUGAUGACUCUUGUGAGAAUCAUUGCCUGAUUAACUGGAGCUUGUCGUAUAAGUCACUAUCAGUAGAGGGCAUGCAAGAGGAGCUCUGGAUGGGAGAGGCACUGCAGACCACAAAGUUCAAAUAUGGGUUACUUUGCAUGUUUUUCAUCUGAUAAUGUUAUUUGAACCUCAUUGAAUAUGAGAGCAAAGGGUAUACUGCUCUACACAUGUUCUUGCUGAAAGCUAAAGUCGUAAACACUGGCAGCUUGUCACAACAAGAAACGAGCUGCACCAUAAAUAUGGUGAACUGAGAUAGUUUAAUGCAGCCACUUGGAUAUCUUAAUUAUUCAAAUGUAAUUAUUCCAUUCUCUAAUGAGAGAGUGUUAUGUUGUAUUUUUCUGUUAUGAAAACUGCCCACAAUGAUAUAGCUACUUGACGUAUUGUAUUACAUCCAGAAUCUUUAUCAUUAACUGUGCUGGGCCCGGUUUCCCAAAAGCAUCUUAAGUUCAUCGUUAGAACCAUUAAGCUAAAUGGUUCGAACAAUGUUUCUAACGGAGCUCAUGCCUCUGGGAAACCGGGACUAGAUUUUCUUAAUUGUUGUCCAAUGAGGUUCAGUUGGUCCCCACUGGUAUAGUUAAACAAUAAGGCCCGAGGGGGUGUGGUUGAUAUAUGACGCAACGUGGAGUGCCUGGAUACAGCACUUAGUCGUGGUAUUAUGGCCAUGUACCACUAGGGUUUCACAUUUUGGGGAAUAUUCAGAGGUGGUAACUUUCCGUGGGAAUAAAUGGAAAUAUAUGCAAAUUAAUAUUAAUACAAUUUAAAUGUAGAUGUUUUUUUGCAUUGGAUAUAUUUACCAUUUCAUAUGGAGACAGACACAUAAACCCUUUGCCUUAUCAUAAGUAGACAUAUUUGCAAAUGAUUAAAUUGUAUCAAUAGAAAUUAUUUAGUUACGAAUUAAUUAAAUGAGUUGACUCUU
Oncorhynchus keta (chum salmon) is the source of this 7026-nucleotide long non-coding RNA. RefSeq lists it as uncharacterized. Lineage: Eukaryota; Metazoa; Chordata; Actinopteri; Salmoniformes; Salmonidae. The transcript has 4 exons. The record is from RefSeq and is a predicted model, not a curated record.